UGCAUGCACUACUGUAAGUCGCUCUGGAUAAGAGCAUCUGCUAAAUGACUAAAA
Salmo salar (Atlantic salmon) is the source of this 54-nucleotide non-coding RNA. Lineage: Eukaryota; Metazoa; Chordata; Actinopteri; Salmoniformes; Salmonidae. The record is from Rfam.